UUUCAUCAACCUUCAGAUGAAAUAGUUUGAUUUGGGAGGGUACUGUUUGCUAACAUACCUAGUCCCAGUUUCCACCUGCUGUAAAGAGAACAUGAACACUUUCAUUAAAGGGCUGGUCAUGUUUUUUAUUCAUUUUGGUGUUUCUGGGCUUUAACUGGGCCGGUUUAAGAAGAAUUUGCUGCUGCUUAUUGUAUUACAAUAAACCGUUACAGUAUUUGGACAUUCAACGUUUUUAUGUGAGUCAUGGUUGGUGGAAGGUGUACUGAAGAUGGAGUGUCUGGACUGAAAAAAGGCUAACCAGCUAUUUAGCUGCUCUGAUAGCUAGCCCACUAGCGAACAAGGGGCUAGCUUAGCUCCGCGGCAUUAACAUAAAUGUUCGCCGGUUAUUGUCGCACAAACUGGGCAACGCUUUCAGCAAACAGACCCUGCUUUCUGUCGAGACUGAGACCGAUUACUAUGAACUGAAGACUUGGCUUUAUCAGGUUGUCAAGCAAAGAAAAAGACGAAGGAAAGAAUGUGAGGAAGUAACAGAUGGAAGGACACAUGGAAAGCACGACAAAAGGACAGAAGAGAGGAAUGGAGGCAGGAAGACAGUUUGUUUUCAGUGUCAGAAGAGAAGCAGAGACGUGUGGGAAGCCGUCCAAUAGGAGUCGUGUCUAUAUUUUCAACUGAGGCAUGUGGAAAACAGCAGAUAACAGGAAGGCUCGUCCUACUGCAACAAAGUUGUAAAGAAAAUAAUAAUUUGAGAUAAUCAACAGACUUCCAGCUUUUUAUGGAAAGGUGGUGUGUAAAAUGAAUGUAGAGCAAAAACAUAAAUAGUCUCCAAUAAGUAAAUAAUUUGGGGCUCAACUGGUUUCCAUCUUAUCAGCCUAGUUUGGUUUUUUUUUAUUUCCAUGAGAUUCUGAUCAUGGUAUUAAGUUUGGGAACCAGAGGCCCAGUUAAACCUGAAUCCCCCCGUUCCCCCGCACUGCCCCCUCUCCCUCACAUCAGACCAGGUCAGGAAAGAGCGGAGGCGGCUGAAGCAGAGGAAAGCUGCAGGACCAGACGGCAUCAGUCCCAGGCUGCUGAAGACCUGUGCAGACCAGCUCUGUGAGGUCCUCAGCCACAUGUACAACCUGAGCCUCAGUCUGGAGAAGGUCCCUGUCCUGUGGAAGACCUCCUGUAUGGUUCUGGUUCCUAAAACAAUGCAUGCCAAAGAACCGGCCCACUACAGACCAGUAGCAUUGACCUCCCACCUGAUGAAGAUCCUGGAGAUGCUCACCCUCACCCACCUCUGCACUGUGGUGAGCCCCACCUUGGACCCGCUGCGGUUUGCCUACAGGCCAAACAUCAGAGUAGAGGACGCUGUCAUCUACGUGCUGCAGCUGGCGCUCACCCACCUAGAGACCGCUUUCAACACCAUCAGAUUGGCGCUGCUUCUGGGAAAGCUGGAGGACGUUGAUGGAUACCGUGCUGCCUGGACCAUUGAUUACCUCACUGACCUGCCACAGUACGUGAGGCUGGCAGCUGUGAGUCAGAGGCGGUAGUCUGCAGCACUGUGGCCCUGCAGGGCACUGUCCUGUCACCAUUUCUUUUCACCCUUUACAUCGUGGACUUCACCUACAACAAGGACAGCUGUCAUCUCCAGAAGCUUUCUGGCGACUCAGCCAUCGUGGGCUGUGUGUUUGAGGGGAACGAGCUAGAUCUUUAACAUGAGGUCGCACAUGGCUGUUCCUUGCAGAAACAAAUGAAAUAUCUCGUUAUAAAGUUUAGCUUUUUAAAGGUAGGAAAUUAAAACAGGAGCUAUAAUUGUUAUAUAAAGGAUAUACGCGGAUUUAUAAGGGUUUAAUUUAGAGACACCUCUGCUCCAUAACCUGGAGGAUUUUACUGUGUCCAGCAGAUUUCCACUGAUGCAGAGGAAUCUGUAGCUUUAGGCUGAUUUGAAUAAAAAUUGUAGUUUUAUUUAGUUUUACCAGUUAGUUUUAUUUAACUGGAAAUCUGUGUACUUUCAGUUCACUCAAAAAAAUAUUCUGCAUGCCAACCAGAAUCAGCUAAAAUCUGGAUCAGCAGAUCACAGCACAGAAAUAAAUCAGAGAUGGAAACAGAAACUCAGAUCUGUGAAACUGUGGAAUAACUGUAAUGACUUUAUUAUUUGUGCUCUUUAGAUCAAGCAGGACUCAUCGUAAAUGACCUUUUCUGGACUCUCUCAGUGUUUUUAUAUUAUACAGCUAUCGUACAAACAAGGAUUAAUAUUAAACCUUAAACUCUAUGGAGGUAACCUUAGUGACGUCUAUAUGGUGCGGUUAUGGAGAUAACUGCCACAUUUAAGUUGGUCUGGGUUUUAUUUCAGGGCAACAGUCGCCUCUGUUUCACUAAACCCAUUCAGUAAUAAACAAUCUACCACUGACACAUGAACCAAUGGCCUACAGUGUGCUCAUAAUGUCAGAGCAUUGUAAAGGCUCUGAGGGAACCUCUGUACAGAACCGUCUCUGUGAAUGGACUUGUGUGCAAAGCUGGUAAAGAGAGACUGUGUCUGCUGUCAUGCAUGAGUGAAGGACAUUAGACCCAUCAGGACAAUCUACGCUGCCUUGAACAAGGAAAGUUGAGGCAGCUCUCAGAGAACAUCAGGCCAGGAGGAGA
Girardinichthys multiradiatus is the source of this 2619-nucleotide long non-coding RNA. RefSeq lists it as uncharacterized. The transcript is spliced from 3 exons. Lineage: Eukaryota; Metazoa; Chordata; Actinopteri; Cyprinodontiformes; Goodeidae. The record is from RefSeq and is a predicted model, not a curated record.